This 359-nucleotide transfer-messenger RNA is filed under the name Desulfobacteraceae bacterium. It matches the Rfam family "transfer-messenger RNA". Rfam says of the family: Bacterial tmRNA, also known as 10Sa RNA or SsrA, is named for its dual tRNA and mRNA-like properties. RNAcentral also lists the same sequence under 1 other name. The record is from RNAcentral. Lineage: Bacteria; Pseudomonadati; Thermodesulfobacteriota; Desulfobacteria; Desulfobacterales; Desulfobacteraceae.
GGGGGCGAAACGGCUUCGACGGGGAUACGUAAGCUCGGGCUGCAUACCGAGGUUCCUGUCACCCUCGUAAAACAGACGGGACCUAAAGAUAGUCGCAGACGACUACUCUUACGCUCUGGCUGCAUAGCCAGCGUCCCUCCGGUCCGCUCCCGCGGGGCCGGAACGGGCGUCGACUAGCGGGAUAGCUUCCGGGUAGCCGCCCGCCGGCCCGGCGGCGAAAAAAAAUGGCAGGAUAGCGCCCCCGGGGUCUUGGUCCUGGGGAGCCCUCGGGCGCGAUAAGCAGAUCAACAGGAAUAAGUAUGUAGAAGCCUGAAGGGGAGUAUUUUCGGACGCGGGUUCAACUCCCGCCGCCUCCACCA